GGAGGGGAGGUUUGCUGCGCAUGCGCAUGUGGAACUGGUGCGAUUAGUUGGUGUUGCUGCAGUGACUCAAGUGCAGAGUGGAGUGGUCGCCGGAGAUGCCUGACGGUCUGUACUGAGGAGCGGCUAGCAGCGCGAUGGAGCGGGCCAGGGACCGCUUACACCUGAGACGGACUACGGAACAGCACGUACCAGAGGUGGAAGUCCAAGUCAAACGUAGAAGGACAGCCUCACUGAGCAACCAAGAGUGUCAGCUGUACCCAAGGCGAUCUCAGCAGCAGCAAAUACCUGUGGUGGAUUUCCAGGCGGAACUGAGACAGGCAUUCUUAGCUGAGACACCAAGAGGUGGUUAAAGCAGUAUUGGAACAUCCAGGUAGCUGAUUUCCAAGUGAAAAAACAGCCUUCCCUUAGGUCUUAAGGAUCCUGAAACCUUACUGUGGACAUUGGAUUUGGUGGAACAGCAACCAUGACUGUGGGAAAGAGCAGCAAGAUGCUGCAGCACAUUGACUAUAGAAUGAGAUGUAUCUUGCAAGAUGGCCGAAUCUUCAUUGGCACCUUUAAGGCUUUUGACAAGCAUAUGAACUUGAUCCUCUGUGAUUG
Molecule: RNA transcript, 597 nt
Organism: Mirounga angustirostris (Northern elephant seal)
Lineage: Eukaryota; Metazoa; Chordata; Mammalia; Carnivora; Phocidae
Gene: SNURF
Gene name: SNRPN upstream open reading frame
Exons: 5
Source: RefSeq, a predicted model, not a curated record